CUUCAUCAGAAGGCCGAGUGUUGGCUUGUGCGUUACUACUUCUUGUAAUGGUCAUCCUUCUCGUCGUCGUAAGAGCCUGGAUGUUCCUCAACCAAGGUACAGGAGAGAUCCACAAUCGAAUCCCAUCGACGAUGUCAAAGGUCACACAUGCCACAUCCAUCGCAACACAGGAUACAACGACGCCAAAACUCACACAGAGCACAACCACUACAACGAGUA
Long non-coding RNA from Ornithodoros turicata, 219 nucleotides. RefSeq lists it as uncharacterized. The record is from RefSeq and is a predicted model, not a curated record. The transcript has 4 exons. Lineage: Eukaryota; Metazoa; Arthropoda; Arachnida; Ixodida; Argasidae.